GGCGCUAGCUCAGUUGGCAGAGCGAUGGAGCGAUGCUCCACAGUCCCGGGUUCAAGUUCCGGCGGUCGCUA
Non-coding RNA from Phthorimaea operculella (potato tuberworm), 71 nucleotides. NCBI's taxonomy places the organism in Eukaryota, Metazoa, Arthropoda, Insecta, Lepidoptera, Gelechiidae. The record is from the annotation of a GenBank genome assembly.